RNAcentral lists this ribosomal RNA (292 nucleotides) under uncultured bacterium. Its description in RNAcentral is "partial 16S ribosomal RNA". It matches the Rfam family "Bacterial small subunit ribosomal RNA", at positions 505 to 796 of the family's 1533-position model. The record is from RNAcentral.
GUGUCAGCAGCCGCGGUAAUACAGAGGAGGCUAGCGUUGUUCGGAAUCAUUGGGCUUAAAGGGCGUGUAGGCGGCGGCGCAAGCGUCGUGUGAAAUCCCAUCGCUCAACGAUGGAACUGCACGGCGAACUGCGUCGCUUGAGGUCGGUAGAGGUGCCUGGAACUCUAGGUGGAGCGGUGAAAUGCGUAGAUAUCUAGAGGAACGCCUGAGGCGAAAGCGGGGCACUGGGCCGAUUCUGACGCUGAGACGCGAAAGCGUGGGGAGCAAACAGGAUUAGAAACCCCUGUAGUCC